GUUAGGAAUAUUGGACAAUGGGCGCAAGCCUGAUCCAGCCAUGCCGCGUGAGUGAUGAAGGCCUUCGGGUUGUAAAGCUCUUUAGUCCACGAAUAUAAUGACUGUAGUGGAAGAAUAAGCCCCGGCUAACUUCGUGCCAGCAGCCGCGGUAAUACGAAGGGGGCGAGCGUUAUUCAGAAUCACUGGGCGUAAAGCGUGCGUAGGCUGUUUUGUAAGUCAGAAGUGAAAGCCCAGGGCUUAACCCUGGAAUUGCUUUUGAAACUACAAGACUCGAAUUCGGGAGAGGAUAGCGGAAUUGUCAGUGUAGCAGUGAAAUGCGUAGAUAUUGACAGGAACACCAGUGGCGCAAGCGGCUAUCUGGACCGAUAUUGACGCUGAGGCACGAAAGCGUGGGGAGCAAACAGGAUUAGAUACCCUGGUAGUCC
RNAcentral lists this ribosomal RNA (425 nucleotides) under uncultured bacterium. Its description in RNAcentral is "partial 16S ribosomal RNA". It matches the Rfam family "Bacterial small subunit ribosomal RNA", at positions 354 to 796 of the family's 1533-position model. The record is from RNAcentral.